This 132-nucleotide ribosomal RNA is filed under the name Salmonella enterica subsp. enterica serovar Montevideo. Its description in RNAcentral is "partial 23S ribosomal RNA". It matches the Rfam family "Bacterial large subunit ribosomal RNA", at positions 2316 to 2447 of the family's 2925-position model. The record is from RNAcentral. Lineage: Bacteria; Pseudomonadati; Pseudomonadota; Gammaproteobacteria; Enterobacterales; Enterobacteriaceae.
GUUGGCUAAUCCUGGUCGGACAUCAGGAGGUUAGUGCAAUGGCAUAAGCCAGCUUGACUGCGAGCGUGACGGCGCGAGCAGGUGCGAAAGCAGGUCAUAGUGAUCCGGUGGUUCUGAAUGGAAGGGCUGCAG